UACAGAGGGUGCGAGCGUUAAUCGGAAUUACUGGGCGUAAAGCGCACGUAGGCGGCUUGGUAUGUCGGGUGUGAAAUCCCCGGGCUCAACCCGGGAACUGCAUCCGAAACUGCCUUGCUAGAGUAUGGGAGAGGGAAGUGGAAUUUCCGGUGUAGCGGUGAAAUGCGUAGAUAUCGGGAGGAACACCGGUGGCGAAGGCGGCGACCUGGGACAAUACUGACGCUGAGGUGCGAAAGCGUGGGGAGCAAACAGG
This 253-nucleotide ribosomal RNA is filed under the name uncultured bacterium. Its description in RNAcentral is "partial 16S ribosomal RNA". It matches the Rfam family "Bacterial small subunit ribosomal RNA", at positions 524 to 776 of the family's 1533-position model. The record is from RNAcentral.